CCCGGCGACCGGCGCGACGGGUGAGUAACACGUAUGGAACCUGCCCGCAGCAGGGGGAUAAGCGGAAGAAAUUCCGUCUAAUACCGCGUAACACCGCAGAGGGGCAUCCCUCGGCGGUUAAAGAUUCAUCGGCUGCGGAUGGCCAUGCGGCGCAUUAGCUAGUCGGCGGGGUAACGGCCCACCGAGGCGACGAUGCGUAGGGGUUCUGAGAGGAAGGUCCCCCACACUGGUACUGAGACACGGACCAGACUCCUACGGAAGGCAGCAG
This 268-nucleotide ribosomal RNA is filed under the name uncultured bacterium. Its description in RNAcentral is "partial 16S ribosomal RNA". It matches the Rfam family "Bacterial small subunit ribosomal RNA", at positions 87 to 354 of the family's 1533-position model. The record is from RNAcentral.